CCUACGGGCGGCAGCAGUAGGGAAUUUUCGGCAAUGGGGGGAACCCUGACCGAGCAACGCCGCGUGAACGAAGAAGUUACUCGUAAUGUAAAGUUCUUUUAACAGGGAAGCAAGAGAAAUUUGACGGUACCUGAAGAAUAAGCCCCGGCUAACUACGUCCCAGCAGCCGCGGUAAUACGUAGGGGGCGAGCGUUAUCCGGAAUUAUUGGGCGUAAAGGGUGCGUAGAUGGCAUAGUAAGUCUUUUGUAAAAAUGCUGGGCUCAACCCAGUAGGGCAAAAGAUACUGCAAAGCUAGAGUAUGACAGAGGCAAGUGGAACGACAUGUGUAGCGGUAAAAUGCAUAAAUAUAUGUAAGAACACCAGUGGCGAAGGCAGCUUGCUGGGUCGAUACUGACAUUGAGGCACGAAAGCGUGGGGAGCGAACAGGAUUAGAUACCCCUGUAGUC
Molecule: ribosomal RNA, 446 nt
Filed under: uncultured bacterium
Lineage: Bacteria
Description: partial 16S ribosomal RNA
Rfam family: Bacterial small subunit ribosomal RNA
Source: RNAcentral